GACGAACGCUGGCGGCGUGGAUUAGGCAUGCAAGUCGGACGGUAGGGCUUUAUCGUAAGAUAGAGUUUGAGAGUGGCGAACGGGUGAGUAACACGUAGGAAUCUACCCUUAAGACGGGGACAACCCAGGGAAACUUGGGCUAAUACCGGAUGAGAGUGCGAGAGAUUGCAUUUAAAAGGAUGGCGAAAGUUGUCGCUUAGGGAUGAGCCUGCGGUCUAUUAGUUAGUUGGUGAGGUAACGGCUCACCUAGGCAAUGAUAGGUAGGCGGCCUUAACGGGUGGUCGCCCACACUGGGAUUGAGAUACGGCCCAGACUCCUACGGGAGGCAGCAGUCGAGAAUAGUCUACAAUGGUCGGAAGACUGAUAGUGCGACGCCGCGUGAACGAUGAAUCCCUUCGGGGUGUAAAGUUCUUUUAUAUGUGAGCAGUGCUUCUUAUAUUAACAGUAUGGGGGAAGAGAUAUUAGCAUAUGAAUAAGCAACGGCUAAACUCCGUGCCCAGCACGG
This 505-nucleotide ribosomal RNA is filed under the name uncultured bacterium. RNAcentral's name for it is "bacterial SSU rRNA". It matches the Rfam family "Bacterial small subunit ribosomal RNA", at positions 28 to 520 of the family's 1533-position model. The record is from RNAcentral.